RNAcentral lists this ribosomal RNA (251 nucleotides) under uncultured bacterium. Its description in RNAcentral is "partial 16S ribosomal RNA". It matches the Rfam family "Bacterial small subunit ribosomal RNA", at positions 524 to 776 of the family's 1533-position model. The record is from RNAcentral.
GACGAAGGGGGCUAGCGUUGUUCGGAAUUACUGGGCGUAAAGCGCGUGUAGGCGGUUGUUCAAGUCAGGUGUGAAAGCCUUGAGCUCAACUCAAGAAAUGCACUUGAUACUGGAUGACUAGAGGACCGGAGAGGAUAGUGGAAUUCCCAGUGUAGUGGUGAAAUACGUAGAGAUUGGGAAGAACACCAGUGGCGAAGGCGGCUAUCUGGACGGUUCUGACGCUAAGACGCGAAAGCGUGGGAGCAAACAGG